UCGAUACUUUUAUUUAACAUAUUGGCCAUACAAUGGAGUAUGGAUGCUGUAAACUGCUCAAUGUUUGUUGAGCAAUUCCUUGGCGGUCCACUAGGGGCGCUCAGAAGUGGCGGUGAGGGUAAAGUGCGCACAAGUUGUCUAGAGAAGGAGAGGUAGCUCCAAGUGGGUUGAAAAAAUAAAAAAGCUCCGUGAGAACGGUGGAGGAAAAAAUGAGAAAAAUAUUGCUACAAAUCACACAUGGGGACACAUUUUAGAUUUUACACCAACAAGAAAGGAAGUAAGGUGAACAAGGACUUUGCUGUAUGCAAGAAUUGUCAAAGAAAAAUAAGUUUCACUGGGAGCUGGUGACGUAGUGGACACCGGAGUUUGUGAGCUUCGCUUUCAUCACUUGAGGUGAGGAAGACUGUGACUGAGCAAGUCUGACAUCUUAAAUGCUGAAGCAGAUGGCGGAAGUGCUCAAACCAAGCAACAAAGGUCAUAUACAAAGAAAAGACCCACCAGUUUUAUCAUUGCCCCACUCCAAGCUCAACUGCUGACACCUACGGCACUUUUUAUUUAUUUAUUUGUUUUAAAGAUUUAAAACUUUAAAGAAAUUAAGGGUGCCCGUCAUCAUGAUCUCUCAAAGUGAUAUCAGUGGUCGUGGUUUGUUUCCUCUAUAUAAGCAGGGGCACAAUUUGCAGUAGAUUUAUAUUUUACAGCAAUGUUGCACAGAAAAGGUGUCACUGUUUAAUAAAUGACUUAAACAGUA
Corythoichthys intestinalis (scribbled pipefish) is the source of this 748-nucleotide long non-coding RNA. RefSeq lists it as uncharacterized. NCBI's taxonomy places the organism in Eukaryota, Metazoa, Chordata, Actinopteri, Syngnathiformes, Syngnathidae. The record is from RefSeq and is a predicted model, not a curated record. The transcript has 2 exons.